This 195-nucleotide ribosomal RNA is filed under the name uncultured Pseudomonas sp. RNAcentral describes it as "partial 16S ribosomal RNA". It matches the Rfam family "Bacterial small subunit ribosomal RNA", at positions 336 to 523 of the family's 1533-position model. The record is from RNAcentral. Lineage: Bacteria; Pseudomonadati; Pseudomonadota; Gammaproteobacteria; Pseudomonadales; Pseudomonadaceae.
CUCCUACGGGAGGCAGCAGUGGGGAAUAUUGGACAAUGGGCGAAAGCCUGAUCCAGCCAUGCCGCGUGUGUGAAGAAGGUCUUCGGAUUGUAAAGCACUUUAAGUUGGGAGGAAGAGCAGUUACCUAAUACGUGAUUGUUUUGACGUUACCGACAGAAUAAGCACCGGCUAACUCUGUGCCAGCAGCCGCGGUAA